Molecule: ribosomal RNA, 573 nt
Filed under: Kluyveromyces marxianus
Lineage: Eukaryota; Fungi; Ascomycota; Saccharomycetes; Saccharomycetales; Saccharomycetaceae
Description: eukaryotic LSU rRNA
Rfam family: Eukaryotic large subunit ribosomal RNA
Source: RNAcentral
AACCGGGAUUGCCUUAGUAACGGCGAGUGAAGCGGCAAAAGCUCAAAUUUGAAAUCUGGCGUCUUCGACGUCCGAGUUGUAAUUUGAAGAAGGCGACUUUGUAGCUGGUCCUUGUCUAUGUUCCUUGGAACAGGACGUCAUAGAGGGUGAGAAUCCCGUGUGGCGAGGAUCCCAGUUAUUUGUAAAGUGCUUUCGACGAGUCGAGUUGUUUGGGAAUGCAGCUCUAAGUGGGUGGUAAAUUCCAUCUAAAGCUAAAUAUUGGCGAGAGACCGAUAGCGAACAAGUACAGUGAUGGAAAGAUGAAAAGAACUUUGAAAAGAGAGUGAAAAAGUACGUGAAAUUGUUGAAAGGGAAGGGCAUUUGAUCAGACAUGGCGUUUGCUUCGGCUUUCGCUGGGCCAGCAUCAGUUUUAGCGGUUGGAUAAAUCCUCGGGAAUGUGGCUCUGCUUCGGUAGAGUGUUAUAGCCCGUGGGAAUACAGCCAGCUGGGACUGAGGAUUGCGACUUUUGUCAAGGAUGCUGGCGUAAUGGUUAAAUGCCGCCCGUCUUGAAACACGGACCUCCUGUGUGAAGUG